This 253-nucleotide ribosomal RNA is filed under the name uncultured bacterium. RNAcentral's name for it is "partial 16S ribosomal RNA". It matches the Rfam family "Bacterial small subunit ribosomal RNA", at positions 524 to 776 of the family's 1533-position model. The record is from RNAcentral.
UACAGAGACCUCGAGCGUUAUCCGGAUUUACUGGGCGUAAAGCGUCUGUAGGGGGAUUGUAAAGUUUCAAGUUAAAUCUUAAGGCUCAACUUUAAGUUCGCUUGGAAAACUUAUAAUCUGGAGCUUAGCAGAGGUGCAUGGAACUUGUGGUGUAGGAGUGAAAUCCGUUGAUAUCACAAGGAACACCAAAGGCGAAGGCAUUGCACUGGGCUAACGCUGACCCUGAGAGACGAAAGCGUGGGGAGCAAAACGG